This 1428-nucleotide ribosomal RNA is filed under the name metagenome. RNAcentral describes it as "bacterial SSU rRNA". It matches the Rfam family "Bacterial small subunit ribosomal RNA". The record is from RNAcentral.
GUUUGAUCCUGGCUCAGGAUGAACGCUGGCGGCGUGCUUAACACAUGCAAGUCGAACGAACCUUCGGGUUAGUGGCGGACGGGUGAGUAACGCGUGAGAAUCUGCCCUCAGGAGGGGGAUAACGGCUGGAAACGGCCGCUAAUACCCCAUAUGCCGAGAGGUGAAACGAGUUUUCGCCUGAGGAUGAGCUCGCGUCUGAUUAGCUAGUUGGUGGGGUAAGAGCCUACCAAGGCAUCGAUCAGUAGCUGGUCUGAGAGGAUGAUCAGCCACACUGGGACUGAGACACGGCCCAGACUCCUACGGGAGGCAGCAGUGGGGAAUUUUCCGCAAUGGGCGAAAGCCUGACGGAGCAACGCCGCGUGAGGGAUGAAGGCCUCUGGGCUGUAAACCUCUUUUAUCAAGGAAGAAGAUCUGACGGUACUUGAUGAAUAAGCCACGGCUAAUUCCGUGCCAGCAGCCGCGGUAAUACGGGAGUGGCAAGCGUUAUCCGGAAUUAUUGGGCGUAAAGCGUCCGCAGGCGGCCUGAUAAGUCUGUUGUCAAAGCGUGGAGCUCAACUCCAUUUCGGCAAUGGAAACUGUGAGGCUUGAGUGUGGUAGGGGCAGAGGGAAUUCCCGGUGUAGCGGUGAAAUGCGUAGAUAUCGGGAAGAACACCAGUGGCGAAGGCGCUCUGCUGGGCCAUAACUGACGCUCAUGGACGAAAGCCAGGGGAGCGAAAGGGAUUAGAUACCCCUGUAGUCCUGGCCGUAAACGAUGAACACUAGGUGUCGGGGGAAUCGACCCCCUCGGUGUCGUAGCCAACGCGUUAAGCGUUCCGCCUGGGGAGUACGCACGCAAGUGUGAAACUCAAAGGAAUUGACGGGGGCCCGCACAAGCGGUGGAGUAUGUGGUUUAAUUCGAUGCAACGCGAAGAACCUUACCAGGGUUUGACAUCCUGCGAAUCCCUUGGAAACGAGGGAGUGCCUUCGGGAGCGCAGAGACAGGUGGUGCAUGGCUGUCGUCAGCUCGUGUCGAGAGAUGUUGGGUUAAGUCCCGCAACGAGCGCAACCCACGUCUUUAGUUGCCAGCAUUGAGUUGGGCACUCUAGAGAGACCGCCGGUGAUAAACCGGAGGAAGGUGUGGAUGACGUCAAGUCAUCAUGCCCCUUACAUCCUGGGCUACACACGUACUACAAUGCUACGGACAAAGGGCAGCAAACUCGCGAGAGCUAGCAAAUCCCAUAAACCGUGGCUCAGUUCAGAUCGUAGGCUGCAACUCGCCUACGUGAAGGAGGAAUCGCUAGUAAUCGCAGGUCAGCAUACUGCGGUGAAUACGUUCCCGGGCCUUGUACACACCGCCCGUCACACCAUGGAAGUUGGCCACGCCCGAAGCCGUUACUCCAACCCUUGUGGAGGAGGACGUCGAAGGUGGGGCUGAUGACUGGGGUGUCG